This 568-nucleotide small RNA is filed under the name Pan troglodytes (chimpanzee). Its description in RNAcentral is "processed transcript". Lineage: Eukaryota; Metazoa; Chordata; Mammalia; Primates; Hominidae. The record is from RNAcentral.
GUCGGCCCCUGCGGGCCUCUCUCCGUCGCCAUGGAAACGAAAGCGGCCAAGUAGAGCUCCGUCCUGACGCGCCGCCUCCCGUGGGCUCCGGCCGGCUAAGCCGCGGCGGACAACUAUGCUGAAAGCCAAGAUCCUCUUCGUGGGGCCUUGCGAGGUUCGAGUCCUGCUGGCCGGCCCUGAUGAAGGAUGCUCAUGGAGUGGUGAUCGUCUUCAAUGCUGACAUCCCAAGCCACCGGAAGGAAAUGGAGAUGUGGUAUUCCUGCUUUGUCCAACAGCCGUCCUUACAGGACACACAGUGUAUGCUAAUUGCACACCACAAACCAGGCUCUGGAGAUGAUAAAGGAAGCCUGUCUUUGUCGCCACCCUUGAACAAGCUGAAGCUGGUGCACUCAAACCUGGAAGAUGACCCUGAGGAGAUCCGGAUGGAAUUCAUAAAGUAUUUAAAAAGCAUAAUCAACUCCAUGUCUGAGAGCAGAGACAGGGAGGAGAUGUCAAUUAUGACCUAGCCAGCCUUCACCUGGGACUGCCACAUCCCCAGUGAAAUCAGCAUGUUUCUCGGUGCAGAUCU